UCUACGGGAGGCAGCAGUGGGGAAUAUUGCACAAUGGGGGAAACCCUGAUGCAGCGACGCCGCGUGAGCGAUGAAGGUCUUCGGAUCGUAAAGCUCUGUCCUAAGGGACGAUAAUGACGGUACCUUAGGAGGAAGCCCCGGCUAACUACGUGCCAGCAGCCGCGGUAAUA
RNAcentral lists this ribosomal RNA (170 nucleotides) under uncultured bacterium. Its description in RNAcentral is "partial 16S ribosomal RNA". It matches the Rfam family "Bacterial small subunit ribosomal RNA", at positions 338 to 525 of the family's 1533-position model. The record is from RNAcentral.